This 855-nucleotide long non-coding RNA is filed under the name Nicotiana benthamiana. RNAcentral describes it as "long non-coding RNA (NBEN_LNC023274)". Lineage: Eukaryota; Viridiplantae; Streptophyta; Magnoliopsida; Solanales; Solanaceae. The record is from RNAcentral.
CCCCCCCCCCCUCUCCCACAAAAAACCAUGCACUCAGACAUCUACAGUUCGGACUCAAUCCACACUUUGCUUCCCAAUGUGGACCAAAAAGCGCAUAAACGAUUCCUUAAUAUGAUGGUGGAGCAGAAACAAAUAUAUAACCAUUGCAAUAUCAUGUAUCAACCUAUCCCUUCUCCUUUUUUAGGAGUAUUUGUCAUCAAAUUCAAAUCCUUGGGCAAGUUACAACAACAACAACUACUACCCAGUAUCGUCCCACAAAGUGGGGUCUGGGGAGGGUAGUAUAUAGACGAGCCUUACUCCUACCCGAAAGGGCAGAGAGGCUUCCAAUAGACCCUCGGCUCAGUGAAGGAAAGGGAGAAACAAAAACACAAACAAAAGAGCAUUAGUAAGUCCAGCAGAAAAAGCGUAAAUAAUUAUCUAAACAUAAGAACCAUAAAUAAAAUACCGUGCAAUAGUAUUAUACAGUAACUACCAUAGGAUUAGUAAGUCCAGCAGAAAAAGCGUAAAUAAUUAUCUAAACAUAAGAACCAUAAAUAAAAUACCGUGCAAUAGUAUCAUAUAGUAACUACCAUAGGGGAGACACAAUCCAAAAAGAAAAGUAAGUUCAGCCUUAACUUUCCCAGAAUCCCACACAAUCCUAGAUAUAAAAACAACUCCAAUGACAUUUCUAAUUAGGCGAAAAAUAAUAAAUUCCAAUUCAACUCAAUAAACAUCUAAGAUAACCAAUAUCAUUCCGAAAACAAACCGCCAACGUUUCCCCAUCAAGAAAAAGAAAUGGGUAACUGCAUAGAAACACAUCAGGAUCCAGGAAGCAUCUAAAGAUUAAUAAAUAAAUGAACAUAAAGGGAGAAAAAA